UUAAGCGACUAAGCGUACACGGUGGAUGCCCUGGCAGUCAGAGGCGAUGAAGGACGUGCUAAUCUGCGAAAAGCGCCGGCGAGGUGAUAUGAACCUUUGACCCGGCGAUGUCCGAAUGGGGAAACCCAGUGCAAUCCGUUGCACUAUCGUUAACUGAAUACAUAGGUUAACGAGGCGAACCGGGGGAACUGAAACAUCUAAGUACCCCGAGGAAAAGAAAUCAACCGAGAUUCCCCCAGUAGCGGCGAGCGAACGGGGAGCAGCCCGGAGUCUGAAUCAGCUUGUGUGUUAGUGGAACGGUCUGGAAAGUCCGACGGUACAGGGUGAUAGUCCCGUACACGAAAGCACACUUGCUGUGAACUCGAAGAGUAGGGCGGGACACGUGGUAUCCUGUCUGAAUAUGGGGGGACCAUCCUCCAAGGCUAAAUACUCCUGACUGACCGAUAGUGAACCAGUACCGUGAGGGAAAGGCGAAAAGAACCCCGGCGAGGGGAGUGAAAAAGAACCUGAAACCGUGUACGUACAAGCAGUGGGAGCCUCUUUAUGGGGUGACUGCGUACCUUUUGUAUAAUGGGUCAGCGACUUAUAUUCUGUAGCAAGGUUAACCGUAUAGGGGAGCCGAAGGGAAACCGAGUCUUAACUGGGCGUUAAGUUGCAGGGUAUAGACCCGAAACCCGGUGAUCUAGCCAUGGGCAGGUUGAAGGUUGGGUAACACUAACUGGAGGACCGAACCGACUAAUGUUGAAAAAUUAGCGGAUGACCUGUGGCUGGGGGUGAAAGGCCAAUCAAACCGGGAGAUAGCUGGUUCUCCCCGAAAGCUAUUUAGGUAGCGCCUCGUGAACUCAUCUUCGGGGGUAGAGCACUGUUUCGGCUAGGGGGCCAUCCCGGCUUACCAACCCGAUGCAAACUACGAAUACCGAAGAAUGUUAUCACGGGAGACACACGGCGGGUGCUAACGUCCGUCGUGAAGAGGGAAACAACCCAGACCGCCAGCUAAGGUCCCAAAGUCAUGGUUAAGUGGGAAACGAUGUGGGAAGGCACAGACAGCCAGGAUGUUGGCUUAGAAGCAGCCAUCAUUUAAAGAAAGCGUAAUAGCUCACUGGUCGAGUCGGCCUGCGCGGAAGAUGUAACGGGGCUAAACCAUGCACCGAAGCUGCGGCAGCGACGCUUAUGCGUUGUUGGGUAGGGGAGCGUUCUGUAAGCCGUUGAAGGUGUCCUGUGAGGGGUGCUGGAGGUAUCAGAAGUGCGAAUGCUGACAUAAGUAACGAUAAAGCGGGUGAAAAGCCCGCUCGCCGGAAGACCAAGGGUUCCUGUCCAACGUUAAUCGGGGCAGGGUGAGUCGACCCCUAAGGCGAGGCCGAAAGGCGUAGUCGAUGGGAAACAGGUUAAUAUUCCUGUACUUGGUGUUACUGCGAAGGGGGGACGGAGAAGGCUAUGUCAGCCGGGCGACGGUUGUCCCGGUUUAAGCAUGUAGGCGGAGGUUCCAGGUAAAUCCGGUACCUUGUUAACGCUGAGGUGUGAUGACGAGGCACUACGGUGCUGAAGUGAUAAAUGCCCUGCUUCCAGGAAAAGCCUCUAAGCAUCAGGUAACACGAAAUCGUACCCCAAACCGACACAGGUGGUCAGGUAGAGAAUACCAAGGCGCUUGAGAGAACUCGGGUGAAGGAACUAGGCAAAAUGGUGCCGUAACUUCGGGAGAAGGCACGCUGAUAUGUAGGUGAAGUCCCUGCGGACGGAGCUGAAAUCAGUCGAAGAUACCAGCUGGCUGCAACUGUUUAUUAAAAACACAGCACUGUGCAAACACGAAAGUGGACGUAUACGGUGUGACGCCUGCCCGGUGCCGGAAGGUUAAUUGAUGGGGUUAGCGGCAACGCGAAGCUCUUGAUCGAAGCCCCGGUAAACGGCGGCCGUAACUAUAACGGUCCUAAGGUAGCGAAAUUCCUUGUCGGGUAAGUUCCGACCUGCACGAAUGGCGUAAUGAUGGCCAGGCUGUCUCCACCCGAGACUCAGUGAAAUUGAACUCGCUGUGAAGAUGCAGUGUACCCGCGGCAAGACGGAAAGACCCCGUGAACCUUUACUAUAGCUUGACACUGAACACUGGUCCUUGAUGUGUAGGAUAGGUGGGAGGCUUUGAAGCGUGGACGCCAGUCUGCGUGGAGCCAACCUUGAAAUACCACCCUUUAAUGGCUGGUGUUCUAACGUAGACCCGUAAUCCGGGUUGCGGACAGUGUCUGGUGGGUAGUUUGACUGGGGCGGUCUCCUCCCAAAGAGUAACGGAGGAGCACGAAGGUUGGCUAAUCCUGGUCGGACAUCAGGAGGUUAGUGCAAUGGCAUAAGCCAGCUUGACUGCGAGCGUGACGGCGCGAGCAGGUGCGAAAGCAGGUCAUAGUGAUCCGGUGGUUCUGAAUGGAAGGGCCAUCGCUCAACGGAUAAAAGGUACUCCGGGGAUAACAGGCUGAUACCGCCCAAGAGUUCAUAUCGACGGCGGUGUUUGGCACCUCGAUGUCGGCUCAUCACAUCCUGGGGCUGAAGUAGGUCCCAAGGGUAUGGCUGUUCGCCAUUUAAAGUGGUACGCGAGCUGGGUUUAGAACGUCGUGAGACAGUUCGGUCCCUAUCUGCCGUGGGCGCUGGAGAAUUGAGGGGGGCUGCUCCUAGUACGAGAGGACCGGAGUGGACGCAUCACUGGUGUUCGGGUUGUCAUGCCAAUGGCACUGCCCGGUAGCUAAAUGCGGAAGAGAUAAGUGCUGAAAGCAUCUAAGCACGAAACUUGCCCCGAGAUGAGUUCUCCCUGAGACUUUAAGUCUCCUGAAGGAACGUUGAAGACUACGACGUUGAUAGGUCGGGUGUGUAAGCGCAGCGAUGCGUUGAGCUAACCGAUACUAAUGAACCGUGAGGCUUAACCUU
This 2904-nucleotide ribosomal RNA is filed under the name Enterobacter hormaechei. Its description in RNAcentral is "23S ribosomal RNA". It matches the Rfam family "Bacterial large subunit ribosomal RNA". The record is from RNAcentral. Lineage: Bacteria; Pseudomonadati; Pseudomonadota; Gammaproteobacteria; Enterobacterales; Enterobacteriaceae.